Molecule: ribosomal RNA, 250 nt
Filed under: uncultured prokaryote
Description: partial 16S ribosomal RNA
Rfam family: Bacterial small subunit ribosomal RNA
Source: RNAcentral
UACGUAGGGUGCGAGCGUUAAUCGGAAUUACUGGGCGUAAAGCGUGCGCAGGCGGUUUUGUAAGACAGAUGUGAAAUCCCCGGGCUCAACCUGGGAACUGCGUUUGUGACUGCAAGGCUAGAGUGCGACAGAGGGGGGUGGAAUUCCACGUGUAGCAGUGAAAUGCGUAGAGAUGUGGAGGAACACCGAUGGCGAAGGCAGCCCCCUGGGUCGUAACUGACGCUCAUGCACGAAAGCGUGGGGAGCAAAC